CCUACGGGAGGCAGCAGUGGGGAAUAUUGGACAAUGGGGGAAACACUGAUCCAGUGACGCCGCGUGAGUGAAGAAGUAUUUCGGUACGUAAAGCUCUAUCAGCAGGAAAGAAAAUGACGGUACCUGACUAAGAAGCCCCGGCUAACUACGUGCCAGAAGCCGCGGUAAUACGUCGGGGGCAGGCGUUAUCCGGAUUUACUGGGUGUAAAGGGGUCUUAGACGGCAGUGCAAGUCUGGAGGGAAUUGCCGGGGGCCAACCCCGGAACCGCGCGGGAAACUGUGAAGCUGGAGUGCAGGAGAGGUAAGCGGAAUGCCGGGUGUAGCGGUGAAAUGCGUAGAUAUCAGGAGGAACACCGGUGGCGAAGGCGGCUUACUGGACUGUAACUGACGUUGAGGCUCGAAGGCGUGGGGAGCAAACAGGAUUAGAUACCCGAGUAGUC
This 440-nucleotide ribosomal RNA is filed under the name uncultured bacterium. RNAcentral describes it as "partial 16S ribosomal RNA". It matches the Rfam family "Bacterial small subunit ribosomal RNA", at positions 338 to 795 of the family's 1533-position model. The record is from RNAcentral.